RNAcentral lists this long non-coding RNA (170 nucleotides) under Mus spicilegus (steppe mouse). RNAcentral's name for it is "lncRNA (ENSMSIG00000017379.1)". Lineage: Eukaryota; Metazoa; Chordata; Mammalia; Rodentia; Muridae. The record is from RNAcentral.
CUCCAGGUUACGUUCUCACAUUCGUACCUUUCGGUUUUGUUUUGGAACUCUGACUGAACCAGACUAUGCAUGUGGCUAUUGGGUGCAGAACUAUUCACACAAGCCUGAGGAGCUUGCAUUUGGUACACAGAAAAAAAAAAGUGACUUUCCAUCUGAAAGAUCAAAUAAGG